CAGUAAUAGUGUGGGGUGGCAUUUCAUUGGGGGGCCGCACAGCCCUCCAUGUGCUCGCCAGAGGUAGCCUGACUGCCAUUAGGUACCGAGAUGAGAUCCUCAGACCCCUUGUGAGACCAUAUGCUGGUGCGGUUGGCCCUGUGUUCCUCCUAAUGCAAGACAAUGCUAGACUUCAUGUGGCUGGAGUGUGUCAGCAGUUCCUGCAAGACGAAGGAAUUAAUGCUAUGGACUGGCCCCAGGGGAGGGCUGGCAGCCUUAGGCCUGGGGGGCAAAACCAGUCAAGUGGCC
This 288-nucleotide long non-coding RNA is filed under the name Pelobates cultripes (western spadefoot toad). Lineage: Eukaryota; Metazoa; Chordata; Amphibia; Anura; Pelobatidae. The record is from RNAcentral.